GUGGAUUAGAUACCCUGGUAGUCCACGCCGUAAACGAUGAUCACUAGGUGUUGGGGGUCGAACCUCAGCGCCCAAGCUAACGCGAUAAGUGAUCCGCCUGGGGAGUACGCACGCAAGUGUGAAACUCAAAGGAAUUGACGGGGACCCGCACAAGCGGUGGAGCAUGUGGUUUAAUUCGACGCAACGCGAGAAACCUUACCAGCGUUUGACAUCCUAAGAAGUUUCCAGAGAUGGAUUCGUGCCGGCUUGCCGGAACUUAGUGACAGGUGGUGCACGGUCGUCGUCAACU
Molecule: ribosomal RNA, 289 nt
Filed under: uncultured bacterium
Lineage: Bacteria
Description: partial 16S ribosomal RNA
Rfam family: Bacterial small subunit ribosomal RNA
Source: RNAcentral